CCUAGGAUGACCCAGGAGAUGGUUUGCUGAAGGUGCCGGAAGCAGUGCCACGUGAGCUGAUCGCAUGCUGCCUUCACAUCCCUUGCAGGAGUGUCGUGUGCCUGCUGCUGCGGGUGUGCAGAUGUGAUGUCCUCGGGAAAAGUGUGGCUUGUUAAGUCCAGAUGUGUCCCCAGUAUGCAGAGGCAUUGUGGGAGUUGAACUGUCAGGAACAUUCUAGACUCCAGUCUCCUUGAGCUGUUUGGAACCAUCACAGACAGUGAAAAGGGACAAUGCUCCACAUGUUGGGCAAGAGUGUCAGUUACACUGUAAGAACUGUGGGAUGGAUCAUAAGAGUUGGUGUGGUGAUCUUCUGGAGGCAGAAAGUUACAAACUCUUACACCAUUGUUCUCUUUCAGGUGCACUGUAUGGACUGACACCGACAUUACAGUUUCCAAAGAUGCUCUCCAGUUCUGUUUCUGGCUAGAGGUUGUGUUGUGGAACAAGUUUAAAUUGAGACUGUGUUUGGAGGAUGCUGGCAGCUUUACUCAGCACAGCACUUCCUGUACCUCUAUGGUUUAUUAAAGACAUACAUGCUUUUCUCUUGCAUUGCACAGUUUUUUGAUGCUUUAGUCUUUAUUCUUCCUUCAAGGUGUAUGUGCAUGCAUUUUAUGUCAAUUUAGUUGAAAACCUCAAACGUUUUCUUUUUCAGCCAUAAAGAAUAAAGAA
Ochotona curzoniae (black-lipped pika) is the source of this 705-nucleotide long non-coding RNA. RefSeq lists it as uncharacterized. The record is from RefSeq and is a predicted model, not a curated record. Lineage: Eukaryota; Metazoa; Chordata; Mammalia; Lagomorpha; Ochotonidae. The transcript is spliced from 4 exons.